This 299-nucleotide signal recognition particle RNA is filed under the name Aotus nancymaae (Ma's night monkey). RNAcentral describes it as "Metazoan signal recognition particle RNA (ENSANAG00000002159.1)". It matches the Rfam family "Metazoan signal recognition particle RNA". From Rfam's summary of the family: The signal recognition particle (SRP) is a universally conserved ribonucleoprotein. Lineage: Eukaryota; Metazoa; Chordata; Mammalia; Primates; Aotidae. The record is from RNAcentral.
GCCUGGCGUGGUGGCGCGUGCCUGUAGUUCCAGCUACUCGGGAGGCUGAGGUGGGAGGAUCGCUUGAGCCCAGGAGUUCUGGGCUGUAGUGCGCUAUGCUGAUCAGGUAUUUGCACUAAGUUUGGCAUCAAUAUGGUGACCUCCUGGGAGCCAGGGACCACCAGGUUGCCUAAGGAGGGGUGAACUGGCCCAGGUCGGAAACGGAGUAGGUCAAAACUCCCGUGCUGAUCAGUAGUGGGAUAGCAUCUGUGAAUAGCCACUGCACUCCAGCCUGGGCAACAUAGCAAGACCCUGUCUCU